GAAAGAUAAAGCACACCUGAAAAAUGCCCUCAUAAGACCAACUAAAUGAUCAAUAAAGUAAAUUAGUAUUUUAAGACUAAUGACUUCUUCACCGCAAGACAAUGGCUAAAAGAACAUAGGUUCAAAAUGUAUAGAGAAAUGCUUCCUCCACCACGAGUCAGCCUCCUCAUUUUCUGCAGCAUUUUCCAUCUGUGUCAUUGGCGUAGUACACACGUGCCUGACCUAGAUGUUUACUGGCAUUUGCAGCAUCGUGAUUAUCUUCCUCAUCAUUAUCUUUGAAGCCCAACUGAAAUGAUGCCCUGUAACUACGGGUCUGUGAGUUGUUUUGGAACAGGAUGUAUCAGCCUGUCAGCAUUGUUUGCAACAGAACUGAAGAAUAGCAAUUUCCCCGAGAGAGAGAGAGUGAAAGAAAAAGAUCAGAAGAAUGUAAGAGAAUGCUGUCUUCUUAACUUCGGUCUCCCAGGGGAUGUUAGAGCUAACAUGUCAUACUUCAUUGUUGCCUUCUGGAUACCACAUCUAAUGGCAUGGAUUUCAUAAUUUUCUAUUUUUUUU
This 552-nucleotide long non-coding RNA is filed under the name Equus caballus (horse). RNAcentral's name for it is "lncRNA (ENSECAG00000028020.3)". Lineage: Eukaryota; Metazoa; Chordata; Mammalia; Perissodactyla; Equidae. The record is from RNAcentral.